Cygnus olor (mute swan) is the source of this 1310-nucleotide long non-coding RNA. RefSeq lists it as uncharacterized. NCBI's taxonomy places the organism in Eukaryota, Metazoa, Chordata, Aves, Anseriformes, Anatidae. The record is from RefSeq and is a predicted model, not a curated record. The transcript has 3 exons.
CCUGGACAGGGAGGGUAGUGAUAGGACAGGGGAUAACAGCUUUAAACUAAAGGAGGGUAGAUUUAGAUUAGAUACAAGAAAGAAAUUCUUCACUCAGAGGGUGGUGAGGCACUGGGACAAGUUGCCCAGAGAAGCUGUGGAUGCCCCAUCCCUGGCAGUGCCCAAGGCCAGGCUGGGUGGAGCUUUGGACAGCUGGUCUGGUGGGAACUGCCCCGCCUAUCGCAGGGGGUUGGAACCAUAUGGUAUUUAAGGAAUUUGUGUUUCCAACCCCAAACCGUUCUGAGAUUCUAUGAAACACUAUCCUUUGUGGAUUACAUAUAAGAAAGAGAACUUUUUUAAAAAACUUUUUUCUUCCUUAAUUACAAUGUAUUGACACAGAUGUCAUAAUUGCUUUGACCAGCCUGAAAAUCCUUGCUUUUGCACCUGAAUUACUACUUGGGAGGAUAGGUUUUUAAACACCUCCAUCUCUAACUGAGCGACAAACACCACAAAUCCUUUUUUCUGUAUUUGUAACUGUUAAGAAUGGCAUCAGCAGCUGGAAUCCAUUUGCCAUAAACCCAAAUUUUUCUCUUAGAAAACAAACUUAUUUCUGCAGAAUUUUAGCAGAAUAAGUAUUUCAAAGUAAUGUACUUUUGCAAGUUGGGUAAAUUAACUAUAAGGGUUUUCAGAAUAAAUGGAAAAAUCAUAGACAAAGUUUUAAAUAUAACAAAUAAGCCUGCAUCAAAUGAGCACAACUUAAUUCUCUAUCACUUCAGUCUAAACUUCAUAGUUACUAACUCAUGAUGGUUUGUUGUAUUGUUCCUCCCCUCAGUAAACACUACCAAGUCCUGCAAGACUGAAUGUGUUCAGGUGCCUAGGCUACGGAAGGAGGAAUGUAUUAGAAGAGAGUGACAUAGUAAAAUCUUUGAAAAAUCGUGUUUUUCAAUCAUCAGUAUUCUGACAUCCGAAGAUUAUAGAUGCUUUGUCUCUGCUUUGGAGAUUAUAGUCUCUGCUUUGGGACUGAUCAACCAGGUAAGGAGAAAUUACCACUAGCAAAUGCACUUAGAUAUUUUCCAAAGUUUCAAAAUUCACUCAGUGUAAUUGUAGAUGUAGCCAGAUCUGCCAUUUCACAGGCAACAUUUUAAAGACAAUUUCUCAGUUAAAUACAUAAUAGAAGAACUCGCAAGAUAUCAAACUACAUAUUAAAUAAUGCUACACAGUGCACAUGAGAUUAUAUUUUUCUUGGUGAGAACAGAGUAAGGGUGAAAGAGAACACUCCUCUUGUCAGUGACCAAGCUGCUAUAGCCAAAGUAUAACACUUUUCUGUGAGC